RNAcentral lists this small RNA (489 nucleotides) under Pongo abelii (Sumatran orangutan). RNAcentral describes it as "retained intron". The record is from RNAcentral. Lineage: Eukaryota; Metazoa; Chordata; Mammalia; Primates; Hominidae.
UAGCCAUUUAUAAAGUAUACUUUUAUUAUAAACAACUGAAAGUUUAUGGUAGAUGCCAUAUACAAUUGUCUGAAUUAUCUGUAGUAUAAACAUCUGAAUAUACAAAAAUUAGGAAACGAUAGGAAUUCAGCAAAAGGGACUUUAAUAUUUACUUUGCUUACAUUUUAUUUUUUGCUUAAUCCUUUAGAAUCCAAAGGCCCUAUUGUGCCUUUAAAUGUAGCUGACCAAAAGCUUCUUGAAGCUAGUACACAGUUUCAGAAAAAACAAGGAAAGAAUACUAUUGAUGUCUGGUGGCUUUUUGAUGAUGGAGGUUUGACCUUAUUGAUACCUUACCUUCUGACGACCAAGAAAAAAUGGAAAGACUGUAAGAUCAGAGUAUUCAUUGGUGGAAAGAUAAACAGAAUAGACCAUGACCGGAGAGCGAUGGCUACUUUGCUUAGCAAGUUCCGGAUAGACUUUUCUGAUAUUAUGGUCCUAGGAGAUAUCAAU